Long non-coding RNA from Lycium barbarum (goji berry), 1044 nucleotides. RefSeq lists it as uncharacterized. The transcript is spliced from 3 exons. The record is from RefSeq and is a predicted model, not a curated record. NCBI's taxonomy places the organism in Eukaryota, Viridiplantae, Streptophyta, Magnoliopsida, Solanales, Solanaceae.
ACUGAGUCGCACCUCUUCUCUUCGAAUUCUCUCUCCCCCUCCAUUUUUAGCUAAACUUCCACUUCUCUUUAGCCAUGGACAGAAAUUGUCCUCCCAUUUCCGUGUAAACCUGCACUACUGAGAGCCUUUUCCAUUCCCUGAUGAAUAUGGACACAUAAAAUCUUCAAAGACUAGAGAAAAUCGGUGCAUUUUGAGCAGGUCUGAAUCAAUCACGUGAAGAAACCUAAAAAAACGUUCGGAUCUGCACGAAUUUUUUGACUCAACUUUGAUUUGUUUUUCUUUGAUUUCAAAUUCCCGCCCAAUGAAAACCCUAGCUGUUUCUACCCCUAUAAAGGCUUGCUUCGAGCUUCGUUUUAAAGGGGUUUUUUUUUUUGGAGAGCCAUUACCUUCAUUUAAAAUUAUUGUUGAAAUCAAACCAAUUUUUUUUUAAGAAAAGGGAGUAUUCUGAAUCUGUCGAGAUUUUGGAUUCGAAAGGUUUUCCAAGUUCGGGUUCGUCGUGUUCGAGCGUAGAUCUAAGACCCCGUACCUAGUUCGCUGCAUCCGAAAAAGACUAGCAAGUUUGGACGAAUAAGCGUAGCUAAUUGGACGUGGGACAGGUACACCCAGAUGAGUAGAAGCCACUAUAGAAGAUGUUCCAGCGGAGUUGGCAAGCUCUAUUUGCUCUAGGAGUAUUGCCGAGUCAGAGUAUUAUGCUACGAUGUUUUGGGUCGAAGUUAGAGACUUUGCAGACAGAGUCGUGGGUAUAGAAUGUCAGUUUUGUGAGCGGCUCCGUCAGCCGAUGUGUCAUUUUGUCUUAUGUUAUAAAUUCCAUAUGAUUACAGCUUUUAUUUGAUUUGAGAAUGAUGAAAAGAAAGUUUCUGAAAGCUUCACUAUGUAUUUCGUUCUUGUUUGACUCAAGGAGUCCAAAGGAUUAUGUAUGUAAUAAGAGUCAGAGGGUUCGCUCGGCCCUAAGGAAAGGUCGGGUGCCCAUCACACCCUAGCGAGAUUAGGGUGUGACAAUUAUAUGCCUAUCACUCGCUCCUCUAUUUUUUGGAAUCAGGAAAA